RNAcentral lists this ribosomal RNA (256 nucleotides) under uncultured bacterium. Its description in RNAcentral is "partial 16S ribosomal RNA". It matches the Rfam family "Bacterial small subunit ribosomal RNA", at positions 524 to 776 of the family's 1533-position model. The record is from RNAcentral.
UACAGGGGGUGCAAACGUUGCUCGGAAUCAUUGGGCGUAAAGCGCACGUAGGCGGUUCGUUAUGUCGGAUGUGAAAGCCCUUGGCUUAACCGAGGAAGUGCAUCCGAAACUGGCGAGCUAGAGUACGAAAAGAGGAUCGCGGAAUUCCCCGGUGUAGAGGUGAAAAUUCGUAGAUAUCGGGAGGAACACCGGUGGCGAAGGCGGCGAUCUGGGUCGAUACUGACGCUGAGGUGCGAAAGCGUGGGGAGCAAACAGG